CGCAAGACCAAAGAGGGGGACCCCCGGGCCCCUCACUAUCGGAUGAACCCAGAUGGGAUUAGCUAGUAGGCGGGGUAAUGGCCCACCUAGGCGACGAUCCCUAGCUGGUCUGAGAGGAUGACCAGCCACACUGGAACUGAGACACGGUCCAGACUCCUACGGGAGGCAGCAGUGGGGAAUAUUGCACAAUGGGCGCAAGCCUGAUGCAGCCAUGCCGCGUGUAUGAAGAAGGCCUUCGGGUUGUAAAGUACUUUCAGCGGGGAGGAAGGCGAUGAGGUUAAUAACCUUACCGAUUGACGUUACCCGCAGAAGAAGCACCGGCUAACUCCGUGCCAGCAGCCGCGGUAAUACGGAGGGUGCAAGCGUUAAUCGGAAUUACUGGGCGUAAAGCGCACGCAGGCGGUCUGUUAAGUCAGAUGUGAAAUCCCCGGGCUUAACCUGGGAACUGCAUUUGAAACUGGCAGGCUUGAGUCUUGUAGAGGGGGGUAGAAUUCCAGGUGUAGC
RNAcentral lists this ribosomal RNA (504 nucleotides) under uncultured bacterium. RNAcentral's name for it is "bacterial SSU rRNA". It matches the Rfam family "Bacterial small subunit ribosomal RNA", at positions 194 to 679 of the family's 1533-position model. The record is from RNAcentral.